RNAcentral lists this ribosomal RNA (467 nucleotides) under uncultured bacterium. Its description in RNAcentral is "partial 16S ribosomal RNA". It matches the Rfam family "Bacterial small subunit ribosomal RNA", at positions 28 to 506 of the family's 1533-position model. The record is from RNAcentral.
GACGAACGCUGGCGGCGUGCUUAACACAUGCAAGUCGAACGGAAAGGCCCUGCUUUUGUGGGGUGCUCGAGUGGCGAACGGGUGAGUAACACGUGAGUAACCUGCCCUUGACUUUGGGAUAACUUCAGGAAACUGGGGCUAAUACCGGAUAGGAGCUCCUGCUGCAUGGUGGGGGUUGGAAAGUUUCGGCGGUUGGGGAUGGACUCGCGGCUUAUCAGCUUGUUGGUGGGGUAGUGGCUUACCAAGGCUUUGACGGGUAGCCGGCCUGAGAGGGUGACCGGCCACAUUGGGACUGAGAUACGGCCCAGACUCCUACGGGAGGCAGCAGUGGGGAAUAUUGCACAAUGGGCGGAAGCCUGAUGCAGCAACGCCGCGUGCGGGAUGACGGCCUUCGGGUGGUAAACCGCUUUCGCCUGUGACGAAGCGUGAGUGACGGGAAUGGGUAAAGAAACACCGGCUAACUACGU